UACGGAGGGUGCGAGCGUUGUCCGGAAUCACUGGGCGUAAAGGGCGCGUAGGCGGCUGGGGAAGUCGGUGGUGAAAGCUCGUGGCUCAACUACGAGUCGGCCAACGAUGCUCCUCGGCUCGAGCACUGUAGAGGCAGGUGGAAUUCCGGGUGUAGCGGUGGAAUGCGUAGAGAUCCGGAAGAACACCGGUGGCGAAGGCGACUGCCUGGACCAGCACUGACACUGAGGCACGAAAGCGUGGGGAGCAAACAGG
Molecule: ribosomal RNA, 253 nt
Filed under: uncultured bacterium
Lineage: Bacteria
Description: partial 16S ribosomal RNA
Rfam family: Bacterial small subunit ribosomal RNA
Source: RNAcentral